AGAGUUUGAUCCUGGCUCAGAUUGAACGCUGGCGGAAUGCUUUACACAUGCAAGUCGAACGGCAGCACGGGGGCAACCCUGGUGGCGAGUGGCGAACGGGUGAGUAAUACAUCGGAACGUGCCCAGUCGUGGGGGAUAACGCAGCGAAAGCUGUGCUAAUACCGCAUACGAUCUACGGAUGAAAGCGGGGGACUCGCAAGGGCCUCGCGCGAUUGGAGCGGCCGAUGGCAGAUUAGGUAGUUGGUGGGGUAAAGGCUCACCAAGCCUGCGAUCUGUAGCUGGUCUGAGAGGACGACCAGCCACACUGGGACUGAGACACGGCCCAGACUCCUACGGGAGGCAGCAGUGGGGAAUUUUGGACAAUGGGCGCAAGCCUGAUCCAGCCAUUCCGCGUGCAGGAUGAAGGCCUUCGGGUUGU
RNAcentral lists this ribosomal RNA (418 nucleotides) under uncultured bacterium. RNAcentral describes it as "bacterial SSU rRNA". It matches the Rfam family "Bacterial small subunit ribosomal RNA", at positions 8 to 426 of the family's 1533-position model. The record is from RNAcentral.